AUUGAACGCUGGCGGCAGGCCUAACACAUGCAAGUCGAACGGUAACAGGAAGCAGCUUGCUGCUUCGCUGACGAGUGGCGGACGGGUGAGUAAUGUCUGGGAAACUGCCUGAUGGAGGGGGAUAACUACUGGGAACGGUAGCUAAUACCGCAUAACGUCGCAAGACCAAAGAGGGGGACCUUAGGGCCUCUUGCCAUCGGAUGUGCCCAGAUGGGAUUAGCUAGUAGGUGGGGUAACGGCUCACCUAGGCGACGAUCCCUAGCUGGUCUGAGAGGAUGACCAGCCACACUGGAACUGAGACACGGUCCAGACUCCUACGGGAGGCAGCAGUGGGGAAUAUUGCACAAUGGACGCAAGCCUGAUGCAGCCAUGCCGCGUGUAUGAAGAAGGCCUUCGGGUUGUAAAGUACUUUCAGCGGGGAGGAAGGGAGUAAAGUUAAUACCUUUGCUCAUUGACGUUACCCGCAGAAGAAGCACCGGCUAACUCCGUG
RNAcentral lists this ribosomal RNA (490 nucleotides) under uncultured bacterium. Its description in RNAcentral is "partial 16S ribosomal RNA". It matches the Rfam family "Bacterial small subunit ribosomal RNA", at positions 30 to 507 of the family's 1533-position model. The record is from RNAcentral.